This is a non-coding RNA of Rattus norvegicus (Norway rat), 69 nucleotides long. The record is from Rfam. NCBI's taxonomy places the organism in Eukaryota, Metazoa, Chordata, Mammalia, Rodentia, Muridae.
GGGGAUUUGGCUCAGUGGUAGAGCGCUUGCCUAGGAAGCGCAAGGUCCUGGGUUCAAUUCCCAGCCCCG